RNAcentral lists this non-coding RNA (922 nucleotides) under Pongo abelii (Sumatran orangutan). Lineage: Eukaryota; Metazoa; Chordata; Mammalia; Primates; Hominidae. The record is from RNAcentral.
AUCCCCAUGCAGCACAUAAACGCUCCCCACGUCCUUGUCUGACCCUGAGCUGAUGACACAGCGUGUGGGGAAGACUCCCAGGGUACCAGCAGAAAUGGAUGGCUGAAGACUGAGAACACUGAGCAGAGACCGCGGCUGCUGCUCACCACCUGGAAGUCUGGAGUUGGAACCCUCACAAGUUAGAGGCUUAAAAACACCAUGGGCUUCCCAGCAACAUCCAGAAAAACCACACCUUCGCAGAUCCAAGACUAAGGAUGUGUCAGGCAGAAGAAAAAGCCAGACAGACCUGCCCUAACAGCAUCAACACUGAGCCUCUUCAGGGUGAUCCGUAAGAAUUCAGCCUGCGAGAACAAAGCCCAACACUCUUCAGGGGAAGACAACAGAAUUCAACAGAAUUCAGAGUCUCUACCAUAUAAACUCUACCAUAUAAACAGUAUAUAAACUAAAAUUCCACCAGACAAUGAGGAAGUACUGGACGUGUGAAGAAGGGAUAACAGGAUCCAUGCUGAUGGGAAAACGUAGCCAAAAGAAGUAGAUCCUGAGGCUGGGCACAGUGGCUCACACCUGUAAUCUCAGGCGGGCAGAUCACGAGUAAAAGGAAGCUGCAGAAAACAUGGGCACGACGCCCUGUGAGCCUCCUACCACGCACAGGAGCUGCCUUCUGAAGAACGUGCCAGAAGCUGGGAGGGCUUUGUGACAGCAGAUGGACGGAGCUUGGUUCCCAGAAGGGGCUGAGCAUUCGCCCUGCCAGUCGCCGAUACUCAGAGACUCAAUAGAUGAUGUUCUCCAAACUUCAUAAAACAUAAGCACAUUUCACUACAGGAAGACAAAGGAUGAAUAAUGCCUAGAAAAGAUACCGAAUGUCUAUUCCAGCUGUGGAGAGACCAAGACCUGCCACUGGGGAGUGUCUACCCUCAAGAGG